GGUAGUAAGGAGUUGACGCUUAAGUUCUCGGGUCCCGCGGCAGGCUUGUUUGGAGAUAGCUUUCCUUUCCUUGGGUUGAUCCGUUGAGCGUGGAUUCGAUCGAGGGGCAUAACCGAGUAUUCAGGUAAGGGCACGGCUAGGGGCAGACCGACGAGGGGCAGAAAGGAUGCGUGAAGGCCAUAUGGACGUGUCUGAUUUUAUUUUCGCUUCCGCUGAUGUAUUUUG
Cucumis melo (muskmelon) is the source of this 225-nucleotide long non-coding RNA. RefSeq lists it as uncharacterized. Lineage: Eukaryota; Viridiplantae; Streptophyta; Magnoliopsida; Cucurbitales; Cucurbitaceae. The record is from RefSeq and is a predicted model, not a curated record. The transcript has 3 exons.